This 448-nucleotide ribosomal RNA is filed under the name uncultured bacterium. RNAcentral's name for it is "partial 16S ribosomal RNA". It matches the Rfam family "Bacterial small subunit ribosomal RNA", at positions 330 to 794 of the family's 1533-position model. The record is from RNAcentral.
ACCAGACUCCUACGGGAGGCAGCAGUGGGGGAUAUUGCACAAUGGGGGGAACCCUGAUGCAGCGACGCCGCGUGGGUGAAGGAGUAUUUCGGUAUGUAAAGCCCUAUCGGCAGGGAAGAAGCAAGACGGUACCUGACUAAGAAGCCCCGGCUAACUACGUGCCAGCAGCCGCGGUAAUACGUAGGGGGCGAGCGUUAUCCGGAUUCACUGGGUGUAAAGGGAGCGUAGACGGCCAAGCAAGCCAGGGGUGAAAGCCCGGGGCCCAACCCCGGGACUGCCCUUGGAACUGCUUGGCUGGAGUGCGGGAGGGGCAGGCGGAAUUCCUGGUGUAGCGGUGAAAUGCGUAGAUAUCAGGAGGAACACCGGCGGCGAAGGCGGCCUGCUGGACCGCGACUGACGUUGAGGCUCGAAAGCGUGGGGAGCAAACAGGAUUAGAUACCCGUGUAGU